GCCAAGCCCCACAUGGGCCCAACCCAACAAGCCUAUGACAGAAAGCCCAUGUCGUCACAUGCACGUCACUCGCCUGCUCCCAUCCCUACCACGAACUGGCGGCGCGCUAGGGUUAGCGCCACCACCAGCCACACCCGCCGCUCGGCUCCUCGCCGGACACCCAUGUGAUCUCGUGCGCAGCUGCCACCUCGUCGCUGUCCUCGGCCCAUCUCUAGCACCGUCAACGCACCGCCGGCCGCCUCCCUCGCCAUGUCCCUGCUGCAAGCUCCUUGAUCCCUCGCCACGCCGGUCUUCCUCCUCCUCCUUACCCACCUAGCUGACCUCUGCCGCGACGCCUAAACCCGCCUGCUGCGCAGCUCCUCGUUGCCAUGGAGGGGUUCAACUCCAAUCCCAACGUUCUUCAUCUUCAAGAUCACCCAUGCCUCCACUACGCCACCUGCUGUUGGAUGGCACUGGCCGUCCAAGCGUGUGGAACUGGAAGGACUGUCCAUCAUGGCGGUACAGCUCAUCUCGGAGGAGAAAAGACCAAGGUCCUGCAGUCUUCAUGUGAAGGUUUCAAGUGCUACAUAUAGGAGGAGGCAGGAGUGGCUGCAAUCUUGCUACGAAAUGACACUUAUGGAGCUUCUUUACCUAACAUGGCCAAGAAGUCCGCAAAAUCCAGUGAGCAUAGAGUAUAGCCGGUUGGAUACAUAUCUGCAGAGUGCAUGUAGUGUGUGUGUCAGAUAUACAGUGGAAAAACACCACAAUGCAAGUGUCAGAUCCUGUUCUUGAUGCAAUUUUGCGACUCUAUUCUGGACUGUAAGCAAUUGGUUGAUGUUAAGCUGAAACUCGGAUCAGUCUCGUGGCUCUUCUGUACCUAUAUGCCUAGAUUAUUUACUAAUGGUAUAUGAACUAUAUCUUCCUAUAUAGGAUGAUCAAUUGCCAGGAAUAGAAAGACUAUGGUUUUGAUUUU
Long non-coding RNA from Triticum aestivum (bread wheat), 952 nucleotides. RefSeq lists it as uncharacterized. Lineage: Eukaryota; Viridiplantae; Streptophyta; Magnoliopsida; Poales; Poaceae. The transcript is spliced from 3 exons. The record is from RefSeq and is a predicted model, not a curated record.